GGAGAGGUGCUCGAGUGGCUGAAGAGGCACGCCUGGAAAGCGUGUAUGCGCCAAAAGCGUAUCGGGGGUUCGAAUCCCCCUCUCUCCG
This 88-nucleotide transfer RNA is filed under the name Paludibacteraceae bacterium. RNAcentral's name for it is "tRNA-Ser". It matches the Rfam family "tRNA". Rfam says of the family: Transfer RNA (tRNA) molecules are approximately 80 nucleotides in length. Their secondary structure includes four short double-helical elements and three loops (D, anti-codon, and T loops). The record is from RNAcentral. Lineage: Bacteria; Pseudomonadati; Bacteroidota; Bacteroidia; Bacteroidales; Paludibacteraceae.